This 7366-nucleotide long non-coding RNA is filed under the name Rattus norvegicus (Norway rat). RNAcentral describes it as "long non-coding RNA NONRATT031072". The stretch from base 6900 to 6967 matches the Rfam family "XIST 3' intron conserved motif". Lineage: Eukaryota; Metazoa; Chordata; Mammalia; Rodentia; Muridae. The record is from RNAcentral.
AGUGUGUUGUGUUUUGCGUCCUUCUUGUUUUGUGUACCUGUUUCUUCCUUGCUCUGUGUGUUCAAUUUUUUGUUUUAUCUAUUUCUUCCUUGUCUUAUUUAUCUCUUCCUUGCUCGGUGUCUAAUCCUUUGCUACAUCUAUGCCUUCUGUGUGCUUUGUGUGCCUGUCUUCCUUGCUUCGUGGAUCUAUUUCCUUGUGAUUCUACUCCUUUGUCACCUCUAUUUCUUCCUUGCUUUGUGUGUCCAUGUCUUUCGUGUUUUAUGUAUCUACUUCCUCCUCGUGUGUCUAAUUCUUUGUUACAUCUAUUUCUUCCUUGCUUUGUGUGUCUAUAUAUAUAUAUCUUCCUUGUUUUAUGUAUCUACUUCCUCCUUCUAAUCUUUGUCACCUCUAUUUCUUCCUUGCUUUGUGUGUCCAUGUCUUCCUUGUUUUAUGUAUCUACUUCCUCCUCGUGUGUCCAAUUCUUUGUUACAUCUAUUUCUUCCUUGCUUUGUGUGUCCAUGUCUUUCGUGUUUUAUGUAUCUACUUCCUCCUCGUGUGUCUAAUUCUUUGUUACAUCUAUUUCUUCCUUGCUUUGUGUGUCCAUGUCUUCCUUGUUUUAUGUAUCUACUUCCUCCUUCUAAUCUUUGUCACCUCUAUUUCUUCCUUGCUUUGUGUGUCCAUGUCUUCCUUGUUUUAUGUAUCUACUUCCUCGUGUGUCUAAUUCUUUGUUACAUCUAUUUCUUCCUUACUUUGUGUGUCUAAGUCUUCCUUGUUUUAUGUACCUACUUCCUUGUUUUACGUAUGUAUUUCUCCUUUGCGUUGUGUGUCGUAAGUGUCUUCUCUGUCUGCACUGUCUCACCUAUCCCCACGUUUCUCUUGCAUGUUUUUCUUGUAGAGCUUUGAGCUUUGUUAUAUUUUCUCUGGUGCCUAUGGGGUCUGCCUUGUCUUAAUGAGCUGUGGUUUUCUGUUUUUUCUAUCUGUUUGCUAGUUCUCUUAGCUCUCUUUCACUCCUGUCUUUCCUGACUCGCCUUUGGGUCACAUGUUGUAUGCAUGUGUCUUUUUCUUGUGCUCACCCCACUUGUUCUUUGUGCCAGUUCUGUUUGUCAGUCCUUCGACUCACCAUUUCACAUUUUUCUUUCUGCUGUUUUUCCAUCCUUAGCACUUUCUUGUUUACAUUUCCUUCCUGCCUUUAUUGGGCCACUUUCUCUUUUUUCAUCCUUUGUGUUUGUGUCUCUUUGCUGUUGGUGAUUUCUUAUCUCAGCAUGAUUCUGUUGCUUGUUUCCUUCUUUCUGUUCACUUUGAGCAUUUAUGUCUGUCUGUCUGUCUGUCUGUCUGUCUGUCUCUCUCUCUCUCUCUCGUAUUCUAAAGUAAUCCUCUCUUGGAUAUUUCUUUGUGUAUGUACAUAUGUGUGUGUGCAUGUGUGUCAUGUGUGACGGGCGUCAUAGCCCCUUCCCAAUAGGUCCAGAAUGUUACCUGUGGAGUCGUUCCUCACACCAGUCUGCCCUGCGAAAUAAUCUAAGACAAAAUACAUCAUUUCGUCUGUCCGGUCAGAAUUGAAGUGGAUCUGAAGUGAACACAUGUUAAAAAGCCCAAAGUGGAAGACAGAUGUUUUGUGACUUGGGACUUAAGGACCAAAGUACAUACAUGGCCCAUCUUGAGCUGGCUCGACAGAAUGCUGACAACUCAAAGGAGAGGGACUGUUUCUACAGGACGCCUGGGACGUCUAAGAACCAGGAGCUACAUCAUAAGACAGAAAACCUGAGCUAAGUCCAAGCAUAAAACCCGAGGACCCAAUCCUAUGUGGACAAAAUGUCUAAGAGAUAAAGGCCCAUGGCCCAGAACUUUGGAAGGAUAGAAAUCUCAAGAUCAAGAAGAUGAGGCCCCCAACCCCAGCACCCUUUCCAUUUCUUAUAUUUCUAUUUAAGCUGGCUUCCCUUGAGGAUGUAAUUUUCAUUGUUGUCAUUCCCCAUAAAGGAAUAUAUUGUUAGGUUGAUAGUAUUGUGCAGGGGUCUGUUUUAAACUUGAUCUUAGCCAUUUGUUAAAUUUUUGAUGUUUUAACUUCCAUUUCUCUUCACAUCUGCUCCACUUGAGACAAGAGAACAAAAUCCAGUCAGUAUAUAUAUAUAUAUAGAUAUAGUCUGACUUUUGCUAUUCCCUGAGGAUACAGAUACCCAUACAGAUACUGUGCUUCCACUCUCCCUCUCUCAGAAGCCCUAGGCUGACAAGACAAGGAAAACAUCAGGCUGUUAGGGGAAAACAAUGUCAGGCUAUCUAGAGAAAAUAUGAAGAGUUGUUCCAGACCAGUGAGAAGAAUUAGACGAGCAAUAUGCAGAUGUGCCAACCUUCUGAGAAGCACCAGCCAACAUCACCUUCCUUCUUUGGGCUUAGGUGAGCAGGGCGUGGAAUUUCUAAUAAUGGUUUGGGGACAAAAUGAGGUCUGAACCCCCUGCUCAUAGUAGUGGCCGAGUAAUUUGACGUAUUUCAUCAAAAGAAAUCCUGGGUUUAACACUCACCUUUAGGCUUAAUGAUGAGAGAAUCUGGGGACUACUUAACAGGCUUAAUUUUUAUCGUGCCUUCCUCUUCCCCUGUAAGGGGAAGUCAACUUAAAGACAUACAGUGAAAAACUAACAUGCUGACAGCACAUUGGCAAUCAUGCAUAGCGAGCAUCUGAAAUCAUGAUUUGAGUUUUCCUAUAAGGCAGGCAUAAGACUGUAAGUACCUGAGGUUUUGUGGGCCACUGGUCUCAGUUGCAUAUUUUUCUUUUUAAAAAACACCUUUUCAAAAGGCAAGAGUCACCCACUGACUGGCCCAUUGCCGGUACUUGCUUAAGCCCUCAUAUAAAUAAAUGCCAUUUAUAUGUCUGAGUAACAUUAAUUUCCUUCUUUAUGCAUAUUUUUAUGCUGAGUACUUGGGAUGUGAUGUUUAACUGUGGUCACUCCCGGUAACAAGAUCUUACCAGGUAACCUGAAAAUGUAUGAAUACGUAAACCAUGAAGCACAUGACAACUUCCAAGUCAGUGUUGACUAUGAGUGUGUAUUAUAUAGUAGCCGAAUUCUACAGUUCUAUGUGCUUUAGGCACAAAGAUUGCUGUAGGAAUAACGAAUAAAAACAUAUAAACUUAAUGAGGCUUGAAUGAAGGAUACCCCAUCUACUUAAGGGCAGUGUGUUUCUUCUACUGCUCUGGUGAGGCUCAGUAAGUUGUAUUAUACCGGGUAGCAGAAGAGAAAGCACACGGAAACUGAGUUUUAAACUACAAAAUAGGUCACAGAUACAGGUGAUUGGUUACCCUAUUCGGAUCACCGUCUAAUUUCCAAAUACCAUGUUCAUUCAGCACUGGAGAUAAUAACAAAGAGGGACAUUACACAGAAGUAAAAUUUAUGAAAGAAUGUGUUCAAGUGCUUUGUAAAAUAAAGCAUUGUACAGUUAUUAAUUGCUCCCUGUGUGCAGAUGAAUGAAUGCUACCUAACCUCGUGUAUCAGGAAUUGUUUUGGGUGCAUGAAAUAUUCAUGAGUAAGUGUCAUGAAUUGUUUGCACCCCGUAGUAUUCAUUUACAAGGAAUGAGAUAAUGCUUAACGCUUAAUUUAACCAGUCAAGACUUUAGUGAUGAGGGCAUGGUAAUACAUGUCAUGGAGAAACACGUUAUCACUGUGUACUUUAAGGCAGUUCACAAGUGUAAGACGUGACACACUUUCUAUAGAAAUAAAGCUGCCUAUAAAAUAGGCGUGGUCUACAAACUUUUCAUUGUAUUUUUUUUGGCCCACAAUGAGAAUAGUAGAAAUAGUUAACACACUGGGAGUGCUAGCAUAUGCUCUGAGCUCAAAGUAGCUGAAGCAGCAGGACCACUUGAGCCCAGAAAUGAGGCCAGCCUCAAUGAGAUCAAUCUCAAACCUAGAGGCAAAAUAUUGUCUACUAAAUAUAUACUCUCUUUUAUGGGUGCUAGAGAGAUACACGGACUUACAUUUCAUUGUGUCCACAGCUAAGAGUAAUAUAUAUUGGCAUUUUAUGAACUCUGAGGUACCAUAUAACAAUUCAUUUUCUUAUUUGGUGCCAAUUUCCAGGCUUUUAAAAUUCUGCCACAUUUAUUAUACUGUGAAAAUAAAAUAAAUAGGUGACUGUGGAACACUGAAUAUAUGAGGCAUUCAGCAUUUGAUGACUACCGCACUGAAUGGCAAUCAUUUAUUAUAAAACAGUGCCCUUGCUAGGCAUUGGGAUGCGAAGACCAUUCUUAAUGUCCUGUGUAUCUAAAGAAAUUGUAUACAAGAUUAAUUUAUAAUUUGUAAGCUGCCAUAUAAUGCAAUGUUUGCCUAGUGAGCAAUGACUACUUGCUUUUAUCCCCAGACAUGGCACCUGGAAAUACAAAAAUUCAUUACCAUUAUUAAUCCACAACAGAGAUCUGUGUGGCGCUUUAUGAAGUCUACAGUUCUAUAAAGUCAGGACUUAACCGUUGGCUUUAUCAGGGAACACUGAUUACUUUCUAAGUUUCAUAAUGGUUGAAUGCUUAUCACCCAAAGGCACCUAAUAAUAAUUUUACUGUGCUAUGUGUUGAGUGAACCAAGAUUGCUUUGUAGCAUUAUGUAGUACUCACAGGAAUAAAAUCUAGACCAAAGCCUCAUUUCACUUCAGUGAGGAAAUGAAAACAGAAAAAAAAAAAUGGAUUUGUAUAAGGCAGUGUGCUAAGUGUUGCCCUAAAUGGGCUAUCCUGUCUAGAAGGAUGCUUCCCGGUGGGCUUGACUGAGGAGAUGGAAAUUUACCAAUGAGAGGUACUUUUUCUUAAAUGUUGAAUGCUGCUGCUGGAGAUGAAUUACAAACACCUUGCCAGUAAAGGUGUGACAAUAUAGGGUCAGAGUCAUGUAAUCCCAGAGCAUGGAUAUCAAUGAGGGAACAGAAAGGAAGGGGCCAGAGCAUCAGAUGCUACGUAUUUAGUGUGGUCUAGAACCUCUCAAAUUAGAAGUACCGGCUGGUACCAAGCAUGCAGAGCACAACAGCUAAUUAAAUAUGGUAACCUAGGUCCUAAAACUAAAGUGUCGGGUGGACCUAGUAUAUAUAUCACUGAUCAUAGAGGAGAUGGUCUCAUACAACCCAGGCUGGUUUUAAUUGGUGAAUCUUCUGUCACAGCUUCUCAAGUGCUGAGAUUACAGAUGUGUGCACUCAUGCCCAGCCUGUAGAAUGUAUCUGAUUACUGAGUGAAUAAUAGUUUUUAAAGAAUAUUUUAUGUAUGUUGAGUACACUGUUGCUGUGUUAUGACAUACCAGAAGAGGGCGCCAGAUCUAUUACAGAUGGUUGUGAGCCGCCAUGUGGUUGCUGGGAACUACACUCAGUACCUCUGGAAGAGCAGUCAGGGCUCUUAACCGCUGAGCCAUCUCUCCAGUCUCCGGAAUAAAUAUUUUAAAAUAAAUAUGUUAAUGGAUGUUUGCUUGAAGGUGCUAUGCUUGAUGGAUUAGUUAAAUAGGUGUGGCCUAGAAGACUCACUGACUGGUUUGGCGUAAAGAUUUUGAAAACUCAACAAAGGCCAAGAUUCCUUUAACAUAAAAUGGAGAUGUUCCUAGCUAAUUAAGGAAGCUCCAAAGGUCAUUUCCUCAUUGGCCUAGCUUGAAGCUAGGAUAAGAGGACUUAAGGUCUCUGCUUUAAUUCAUUACCGGCUCUCCUUUCCUUACAGUUGAAGUAUUUCAAAGGAGAAUCAAGACAAAUAAUUCUAAACAUAUUUGCUCAUUGCCUGGCUCAGAGACAUGUGAGCAAUAAGAAAAUACUGUCAUACUCACACUUUUAACCCGAGGGUGAGUAAAGUGCAGUUCUAAGUACUCAAAAGAACAAAGACAUUUAAAGGAUGUAAGCCAAAGUGUACUUUACCUCAGUAGUUCAUGAGGGGACUGCAGUAACACAAGAGACUACAGCUCUCACUUUAACUGGGGAGAAAAAAAAAAAUCAAGAUGUGGAGGAGGAGAGUUAAAUAAAAAUAAGUUGUUCUUCUUAUGGGCCUGCUUGGUAGAGUGGAAAUAAGAGAGGUUCUCUUUCCUCACUCAGUUCCACACAUUGCGGAAGAUGCUACUGGAUGCUAAGUGAAACACCUCUAUUCCAAAGGGCAGGCACUUAGUGUGACUUACAGAUGCCUCCCAAAGCAGAGAGAUGCUCUUUAUGAAAAAAAUAUUAGCUCAAACAUUUUCUAGCCUGAAGGACACUUGCCUUUGAUUGCCUCAUCUGUUCUACAAGCAUUUGCAUGUCUCUUCUUAAGCCUUCACUUGGCUCCUGAGACGUGAAAAUAAAGGAAGCAAACAGAUUUCGCUUCCCAGGGAGGUGCUGGAUUUUGGGGUCUGCUUUCUGGAUAGUGGCACAACUUAAUCCCCAAGUAAUAUGUAAUUAAGCCCUCGUCCUCAUCUCUUCUCCGGCCGCUGCAAUGAGUAGGAAGCUGGGUUUUGUAGCAAGUCUGACCCUAAAGUGACAAAAGCCCUCCAUGCAAAGGAGCUCAAUGUUCUAGCCCAAGUCCUAUUUUACCUAUGACUGUGACUACCAGUACCAGUCAGGAGGGAUGGCCAUGUAAAUUCCACAAUCUUAGCUCCUUUGCAUUAUCCUGUGGCAAACAACCUGUUUUCGAGCUGCAGCAGGUUAUGAAAUACAUUGGCCUGUGUUCAGCCUUUCACCUGUUUACAUGCUAAUGCAUGUAAAUUGCCUGACUGGGUCUCUUUCGUAAAGCAUCAGUUAGCACACAGUAAUUUUAGAAACGUUCUCCUUACUAGAAAGUGUAUAUAUUCAAGGCGGUUUGCAAUGGUAAAAUAAUGCCAGUAGAUGAAAAUAACAUUAAAGUUCAACAUGCUUGCAUAAAAUUUAAGCAUAAUAAAAUUGAAAAUUGGAGGAAAGGCCAAAUCGAAAGAACUUGGAAAAAACAAAACCCAAAAAUGCCUUCUACAGGAAGGACAGACUGCGCUUUGACCCUUUCGAUUUUUCUUUCACUCACAGAGGGUGGGACAGGAGGACGAGUGAAAGAAAGGGUCAAAGCUAUGUGGACUGCUUUGUUUUUAAUGCAGUUCCACAAAACUGGUAUUAAUUCGCUAAAUGUUUCUGAAAAUGUAUUUUCAUCUAAAUGGCUAUCAGCUAAGCCUUGAUGGGAAUGAAAUAUAUUAGUUCAAUCAAUGUGACCUCUUUAUCCAAGUUGCCUUAAAGCUGAAGUCACAAUUUGCUGUAAAGGUUCUUAUUCACUGUGGCUCACGCAUACUUUCAAAGUAUCUAGACUUUACUCAGCGAGCCAAUCACGAAAUCCUCAAACAGAGAAGGAAACACAAAAGGGACAGAAUAGAUGGAGCCAGUUCGAAGAGGUCUGGUAGUUCAAAAUAUCUUGCUUUUCAUUUUCAUUAAAAAUCUGGUAUCAGAAGUGUUACUAAUGUUAGCUUUUAAU